AUGUUCCAGAUUCCUUACCCCCAGAUCUAAAUACUGGUCUGAGUGGCUGAAAAUGGAGAAGAACUAAAACUGAAGUUGACUUGGAUUCUUUAGGGACAUACAAGUUCAUUUCACGCACAU
Molecule: small nucleolar RNA, 120 nt
Filed under: Echinops telfairi (small Madagascar hedgehog)
Lineage: Eukaryota; Metazoa; Chordata; Mammalia; Afrosoricida; Tenrecidae
Description: Small nucleolar RNA SNORA61 (ENSETEG00000026795.1)
Source: RNAcentral